AUGCCAUCGCCAAUCACAUUGAUGAAUUGUUUGCUGGGGUCUCCUCUGACUCCCCGCCCCGCAUCCCCCUUGCCCCACACCUCCCCUAUCAAGUGUACUCAAACUCCGGGUUCCACCUGUGGCCUCUGCCAGGACACCACGACGCCCCGCCCUCCUCGAGCUGCGGCAGCUAAAAUCUGGAGCCACGGAGUUUCCAUUUCUGCAGAAAACGAAGUUGAGCAUGCUCAGCGGCCAUGGCGAAUUUUAUCACCAUCUACAACCGUGUUACUUAAUCAUCCAUUUACUGCUCGCCGUGUGCUGCAGAAGCCACCGAGCCGGCUCAAUGCGUUCUUUAACUUUGAGGAUAUGCAAGGGAUCACCCAGCACUUUGUCGUCUGUCAUGUGGAUGCCCUAGGCCAGCAGGAAGGUGCACCCCCUUUCCCAACAGGGUACCAGUACCCCACAAUGAAUGAACUGAUUGAAAUACUGCUUCCUUCUUACCCACCUAGGUCUGAAAAGCAUCAUCGGGAUUGAAGUUGGAGCUGGAGUUUAUAUCCUCAGCAGAUUUGCACUUAAUCAUUCAGAGCCAUGUGGAAGGCCUUGUGCUUAUUAACGUUGACCCUUGUGCCAAAGGCUGAAUUGACUGGGCAGUUUCCAAGCUCUCAGGUCGGACAACCAAUGUUGUGGACAUUAUUUUGCCUCAUCACUUUGGACGGGAAGAGUUGCAGACCAACUUGGACCUGAUUCAAACCUACAGACUGCAUAUUGCCCAAGAUAUCAACCAAAAAAACCUACAGCUCUUCUUGGGUUUCUACAAUGGAUGCAGAGACCUGGAGAUUGAAAGACCCAUACUGGGCCAAAAUGAUAACAAAUUAAAAACAUUAAGGUGCUGUACUUUACUGGUGGUGGCUGAGGCUAUGGUUGAAUGUAAUUCCCACCUGAACCAAAUAAAUAUAACUUUGCUAAAGACAGCAGAUUGUGGGAGACUGCCCCAAGUAGUUUAGCCUGGGAAGCUCACCAAGGCCUUCAAGUACUUUUUGUAGGGAAUGGGAGACAUACCAUCUGCCAGUAUGACCCGGCUCACCCAGUCACGGAUCCACUCAACCUCGAGUAGCAUUAGCUCUGGAGAAAGCCUCUUUAGACGGUCUGUCACCAGCAAUCAGUCAAAUGGAACUCAAGAAUCCUGUGAUUCUCCUGAUGUCCUGGACAGACACCCUAUGGAGAUGUCCUGCUGAGUAGAUGCUCCUUCCCUGAACCAUGCAAGUCCACCCUUCUUCAAAUGACCACUCCAUAAUAUAACAUUUCUUCCAGUAAGUUGGCCUCUACUAUCUUUAACUCAUGCAUGACCACUGAACCUCUCUCUAGUAGCCUGAAUUUAUCAUUCUCUCUGCCUACCCAUCUCCUGUAUAUACCAAGAACCAUCCAUGCCAUUACUGUAACAUUCCAGGAUCUUAGCUGAUCUGAGCUCCAUAUCUUCUCUUGCCAGCUUUUUCCUGUGCUCCCCCAACUAUGUAUCAGAUAAGA
RNA transcript from Carlito syrichta (Philippine tarsier), 1503 nucleotides. It is a transcript of the gene named protein NDRG3-like, with no coding region annotated. NCBI's taxonomy places the organism in Eukaryota, Metazoa, Chordata, Mammalia, Primates, Tarsiidae. The transcript is spliced from 3 exons. The record is from RefSeq and is a predicted model, not a curated record.